GUCCCUGUAGCGCAAUGGAUAGCGCGUUGGACUUCUACUUCAAUUCCAUGGGUUCGAAUUCCACCUGGGAUG
Trichonephila clavipes is the source of this 72-nucleotide non-coding RNA. The record is from the annotation of a GenBank genome assembly. Lineage: Eukaryota; Metazoa; Arthropoda; Arachnida; Araneae; Nephilidae.